UGGGGAAUAUUGGACAAUGGGGGCAACCCUGAUCCAGCAAUGCCGCGUGUGUGAAGAAGGUCUUCGGAUUGUAAAGCACUUUCGACGGGGACGAUGAUGACGGUACCCGUAGAAGAAGCCCCGGCUAACUUCGUGCCAGCAGCCGCGGUAAUACGAAGGGGGCUAGCGUUGCUCGGAAUGACUGGGCGUAAAGGGCGUGUAGGCGGUUUACACAGUCAGAUGUGAAAUCCCCGGGCUUAACCUGGGAGCUGCAUUUGAUACGUGUAGACUAGAGUGUGAGAGAGGGUUGUGGAA
RNAcentral lists this ribosomal RNA (294 nucleotides) under uncultured bacterium. Its description in RNAcentral is "partial 16S ribosomal RNA". It matches the Rfam family "Bacterial small subunit ribosomal RNA", at positions 355 to 666 of the family's 1533-position model. The record is from RNAcentral.